RNAcentral lists this transfer RNA (96 nucleotides) under Halopseudomonas salina. RNAcentral's name for it is "tRNA-Sec". It matches the Rfam family "Selenocysteine transfer RNA". Lineage: Bacteria; Pseudomonadati; Pseudomonadota; Gammaproteobacteria; Pseudomonadales; Pseudomonadaceae. The record is from RNAcentral.
CGGAAGGGCAUCGUCCCCGGUGGGGCGCCCGGAUUUCAAACCCGGUGAGAUGCGCAAGGCGCGUCUGGUAGGUUCGACUCCUAUUCCCUUCCGCCA